Molecule: ribosomal RNA, 501 nt
Filed under: uncultured bacterium
Lineage: Bacteria
Description: bacterial SSU rRNA
Rfam family: Bacterial small subunit ribosomal RNA
Source: RNAcentral
AAAUGAAUAGACGGGGGCUCACACAAGCGGUGGAGGAUGUGGCUUAAUUCGAGGCUACGCGAAGAACCUUAUCCUGGGCUUGACAUGCACGGAUUAGUUUUAUGAAAGUAGAAUGACGAGCUUUGCUUGGAACGUGCACAGGUGCUGCAUGGCUGUCGUCAGCUCGUGUCGUGAGAUGUCGGGUUAAGUCCCUUAACGAGCGAAACCCUUGUCUUUAGUUGCCAGCGCGUCAUGGCGGGGACUCUAAAGAGACUGCCGGUGUUAAACCGGAGGAAGGUGGGGAUGACGUCAAGUCCUCAUGGCCUUUAUGUCCAGGGCUGCACACGUCCUACAAUGCGGCGUACAACGGGACGCGAACUUGCGAGAGUAAGCAAAUCCCUUAAAGCGUCGCUCAGUUCGGAUUGCAGGCUGCAACUCGCCUGCAUGAAGCUGGAAUCGCUAGUAAUCGUGGGUCAGCAUACCACGGUGAAUAUGUUCCUGAGCCUUGUACACACCGCCCGU